This 132-nucleotide ribosomal RNA is filed under the name uncultured bacterium. RNAcentral describes it as "partial 16S ribosomal RNA". It matches the Rfam family "Bacterial small subunit ribosomal RNA", at positions 355 to 478 of the family's 1533-position model. The record is from RNAcentral.
UGGGGAAUUUUGGACAAUGGGCGCAAGCCUGAUCCAGCCAUGCCGCGUGCAGGAUGAAGGCCUUCGGGUUGUAAACUGCUUUUGUACGGAACGAAAAAGCUCUCUCUAAUACACGGGGGUGAAUGACGGUAC